RNAcentral lists this ribosomal RNA (1398 nucleotides) under Chromadora nudicapitata. RNAcentral's name for it is "SSU rRNA". It matches the Rfam family "Eukaryotic small subunit ribosomal RNA", at positions 33 to 1472 of the family's 1831-position model. Lineage: Eukaryota; Metazoa; Nematoda; Chromadorea; Chromadorida; Chromadoridae. The record is from RNAcentral.
UGUCUCAAAGAUUAAGCCAUGCAUGUGUAAGAAUAAACCGAAUAUGGUAAAUCCGCGAAUGGCUCAUUAUUCAGCCACAAAUCAUUGGAUCUAAUCAGUUACUUGGAUAACUGUUCAAAAGGAAGAGCUAAGACAUGCCUCGAAGGUCAAGCGCAAGCUUGAUCGCACUUCUUAGAAAAGACCAAUUGGCUUCGGCCAUCCAUUGGUGAAUCUUCCGAAGAAAGCAGAUCGCACGGUCUAGUACCGGCGACAUAUCCUUCAUGUGUCUGCCUUAUCAACUGUCGAUGGUAGUUUAUUGGACUACCAUGGUUGUAACGGGUAACGGAGAAUUAGGGUUCGACUCCGGAGAGGGAGCCUGAGAUACGGCUACCACAUCCAAGGAAGGCAGCAGGCGCGCAAAUUACCCACUCUCAGUGCGAGGAGGUAGUGACGAAAAAUAACGAGACAGUCUUCUAUGAGGUCUGUCAUCGGAAUGGGUACAACUUAAACCCUUUAACGAGGAUCUAUUGGAGGGCAAGUCUGGUGCCAGCAGCCGCGGUAAUUCCAGCUCCAAAAGUGUAUAUUAAAAUUGUUGCGGUUAAAAAGCUCGUAGUUGGAUCUUCGACCAUCAAGAGCGGUAGCCCAUUGGGUUUCACUGCUUCUUGUGGUCUCCUUACUGGUUUUUCCUUGGUGCUCUUAACUGAGUGCCUUGGUUGGCUAGUGCUUUUACUUUGAAAAAAUUAGAGUGCUCAAAGCAGGCGUUUGCCUGAAUAGUGGUGCAUGGAAUAAUGGAAUAGGACCUCGGUUCUAUUUUGUUGGUUUUCGGAGCUCGAGGUAAUGAUUAAGAGGGACAAACGGGGGCAUUUGUACUGCUGCGUUAGAGGUGAAAUUCUUGGAUCGCAGCAUGACAAACAACUGCGAAAGCAUUUGCCAAGAAUGUUUUCAUUAAUCAAGAACGAUAGUUAGAGGUUCGAAGGCGAUCAGAUACCGCCCUAGUUCUAACCGUAAACGAUGCCAACUAGCAAUCCGCUGGCGUUAAUUUUGACUCAGCGGGCGGCUGCCCGGAAACGAUAAGUUUUUCGGUUCCGGGGGAAGUAUGGUUGCAAAUCCGAAACUUAAAGGAAUUGACGGAAGGGCACCACCAGGAGUGGAGCCUGCGGCUUAAUUUGACUCAACACGGGAAAACUCACCCGGCCCGGACACUGUAAGGAUUGACAGAUUGAAAGCUCUUUCACGAUUCAGUGGGUGGUGGUGCAUGGCCGUUCUUAGUUGGUGGAGCGAUUUGUCUGGUUAAUUCCGAUAACGAACGAGACUCUAGCCUACUAAAUAGUGCGUGGAUCUUUAAGUCCUCGCUACUUCUUAGAGGGACAGACGGCGUCUAGCCGUACGAAAUUGAGCAAUAACAGGUCUGUGAUGCCC